Molecule: non-coding RNA, 2245 nt
Organism: Lepisosteus oculatus (spotted gar)
Lineage: Eukaryota; Metazoa; Chordata; Actinopteri; Semionotiformes; Lepisosteidae
Source: RefSeq, a predicted model, not a curated record
AGAAGAGAAACGGUGUUUUUUCCUCCCAUUUGCUUACUGCGCUCACUUGACUCAAGCCAGCGCCUUUGACUUUGCCACAUAACUUAAAACAGAAUUAAUGUUUCUGAAACAAGAAACAAAAAUGUCAUUUCUUAUGGGGGAGGGGGGUGGGGGCAACAUAUUUCUCCAAAUAUCAGCUAGGUGGAGCUUGAGAACUGCGAAAUCAUACUAUUAACUCAGACUCUGCUGCUGUUCCGUCAGAAAGUUGUAGCUGAAGUGGUUUCCAAUGGGAAUGAGAAUAACUCCCAAUCUGGAAGCAGCAACAAAGAGCACGAAGGGCCGAAAUUCCUUCCCUUGUUUCUGAACGUCAAGUUCUUGUCAAAAUCAAACAACUGAAAAUUCACAGCAGGAUGCAGCAGAUUCUGGGGUGUACGCACAUUCAGCAUUUGUUCAAUACUGCUGGAAGACAGCCAUUCUCUGAUGAGCAGCAGUCAAAUCCAGGCUGUGGCAUUGGGGGGGGAUUUGAGGAAUGAGAGACUUAGAUACAAAAGCCUGGGCUUAUAUGUUACUAAGGCAGGUAAAAGCAGUGAACUCUUCUUAAGUGCACUAGCUUUCCUCCGAAGAGUGAUGAGCACACCUCAGGACUGCAAACAAUGAGGGGCUGCUGUAUCCAGACCGCAUCGUUGAUGAGAUCUUUUCACCCACACUCAAAACCUGAAAUGCCAUCCAUGACUGGUGAGCACACCCUGUCCAAGAGCACUGUACAGUCCAACUGUAACAAGGUAACUUGAACAGCACCAGUUUAAAACACAACAGACUGGACUUUGGAGAUGAGUAACAAAUAGGGAAAAGAGCGCCAGGCAAAAUGUGAUCAUCUCUUUGCACAGCUCGAACAACUCUGUCCUUAAAAUCCCAGUACUACAGAACAGGCAUUCAGUGGGGAUUUGAAAAGUGAUUCAGCUGUCCGAAGACUCCUGGUCUAAAACUACUACGCUUUGGUGAGUAAGAUACUCAAGUACACCUACAACCUUUAAGGUGCUUCUUUCCCCCACGAACUUCAAAGGCUAGGACAUACAUUUUUAAUAUUUCCUCUGAUAAGAACAUCUCCGUCCCACUUCCUCCUCUUGAAGAACACAAUGGUCCGAUUGUAGUCUGCAGCAGCCAGACAAAGGGAACUGUUUAUCUAUUUUAAGUUUAUUAUUCAUUUAGCUUGUAUUCAGGCGACUUACUUCUGUACCUGUUUAUUCAGCUGGGCAUGUUGCUGAAGCAGUCUUAUAUAAGCAGCUUAUACUCCAUGGGACAGCAGCAACACUGCACCCUGGUUUCGAACCCGCCAGCUUCUAGCUGUGUGUGCCACACUGAGUUCAAUCCUCCCAGUCCAACUACCUACAGAGAGCUUGCGUGAUGGUGUAACUAUCUCAAAGUUCCUUAAUGGAUAUUUAGGUGGUCUUCCCUGUGUCUCCAUACAAUGGAAGGGCAUGAACAGCUAUGAUUUUUUAAAGAAACCUCAUCUAAAUUGGGGAUGGAUUGUCUGCACCGAAGAAUAUCCCCUUAACCACAGAACAGCACAAAGCACAAUGGCACCACUGAACUUAAGUGGUGAAAAUGGUGGCAAAUGGCACGUUUUCCAACAAUCCAAAACGAGAAGACUUUAAUGGGAUGAGCCAUAAAUCGCCCCAGAGUAACUGUGAAAUUGAUGCAACACUUGAACUGUGUUCCAGCUGUACUGCUGCCAGCAGCCCCUGCUGUAAAAACCAAGUUGGUCCCCACAAGUACUUUUAAUUUCCAAGAUGACCUUUCACUUGCGAAGAAAUUUGUGCUUUGUCUCCUGAGAGACUAAAACGAGAAGGUUUGAUGAAGUUCAGCAGGUUAAGUGGAAUCCCAGAAAAUCACGAAAGCUUUUUUUUUUUGUAAAGUUGCGAACUGCCAAUUUUUGUUACACGCUGCAGAUUUGGAAGAGCAAAUGCUUAUUUUUUCCUUGCCCAGCGUGUCCUCUACAAACCCCGUGACCGCACACGGGGAGAGUGAGGAGGUGUGGGGGAACUUCCACUACACGCUUAGUGAAUCCUGCUUGGUCUCAAGCCUGCGAUCACAGAGCUUAAUCUACACUCAGACAGGAGGCUCUCACAGCGAGGGAUCCAACAGCUGGACACAGCCUUCAUGGGGUGACUAAACAUCUGGAAAUACUGGGUUCAUCAAUACUGGCUAAACUGGAUUACACUAUCAGGGACAACAGCAAACAUUAAACUAACACGUUGAAAAUUAA